Molecule: ribosomal RNA, 397 nt
Filed under: uncultured bacterium
Lineage: Bacteria
Description: bacterial SSU rRNA
Rfam family: Bacterial small subunit ribosomal RNA
Source: RNAcentral
GACGAACGCUGGCGGCGUGCUUAACACAUGCAAGUCGAGCGGUAAGGCCCUUUCGGGGGUACACGAGCGGCGAACGGGUGAGUAACACGUGGGUGACCUGCCCUUAGCUCUGGGAUAAGCCUGGGAAACUGGGUCUAAUACCGGAUAUGACUCCAUGACGCAUGUUGUGGGGUGAAAGCCUUGUGCGGCUAGGGAUGGGCCCGCGGCCUAUCAGCUUGUUGGUGGGGUGAUGGCCACCAAGGCGACGACGGGUAGCCGGCCUGAGAGGGCGACCGGCCACACUGGGACUGAGACACGGCCCAGACUCCUACGGGAGGCAGCAGUGGGGAAUCUUGCGCAAUGGGCGAAAGCCUGACGCAGCGACGCCGCGUGAGGGAUGACGGCCUCGGUUGUAACC